RNAcentral lists this ribosomal RNA (356 nucleotides) under uncultured eukaryote. Its description in RNAcentral is "SSU rRNA". It matches the Rfam family "Eukaryotic small subunit ribosomal RNA", at positions 594 to 945 of the family's 1831-position model. The record is from RNAcentral.
AUAGCGUAUAUUAAAGUUGUUGCAGUUAAAAAGCUCGUAGUUGGAUUUCUUGCUUGAUAUAUUUUGCCGGCCACGGUUUCGUGUGUUAGUGCUUGAUAUUCUGGCCAUCCUUCCAAUGGCUAUUCAUCCUUCUUCAUUGAAGGUGUGAGUGGUAUUGGAUCUUUUACUUUGAAAAAAUUAGAGUGUUUCAAGCAGGCUUUAUGCUAUGAAUACAUUAGCAUGGAAUAAUAAUUUAGGACUUCGGUUCUAUUUUGUUGGUUUCUAGGACUGAAGUAAUGAUUGAUAGGGAUAGUUGGGGGUGCUAGUAUUCAGAGGCCAGAGGUGAAAUUCUCGGAUUCGCUGAAGACUAACUUAUG